GAUAACCAGAACAUCCAAUAAUGUAACUUUGGGUGAUACAUAACAUGACUUGGUGAUAUCCAAGUCUUUUGACAAUACAUAAACUUACUCAUACUCAUCUGGCAUAUCUCCAUACAUAUUUUAAAAUUCGAAUUUCUUGGUCAAAUGAUGUAUUUUUCAAAUUAUUAAAUAUAUUUAGAUGUCUUUACUAUACAAAGUUAAAUGUACAACUAAAUUAGUAAAAAGUGCUGAGGUUUUAUUGGAACAAUUAACAUUCUGACAAAAAUGUUUAUGAAUGUACUCUGUACUUUACUAAUACUGUCUUUUUUCAUUUAUAUCUAAAUUUCCCCUUCUAUUUAAUAACCAGUUUUGAUUUUUUAUAUGAAAUCUAUAACUUCUUAAUUCAUACAGAUUCU
This 395-nucleotide long non-coding RNA is filed under the name Bos taurus (domestic cattle). RNAcentral's name for it is "long non-coding RNA NONBTAT014907". The record is from RNAcentral. Lineage: Eukaryota; Metazoa; Chordata; Mammalia; Artiodactyla; Bovidae.